This is a long non-coding RNA of Triticum aestivum (bread wheat), 1148 nucleotides long. RefSeq lists it as uncharacterized. The transcript has 2 exons. Lineage: Eukaryota; Viridiplantae; Streptophyta; Magnoliopsida; Poales; Poaceae. The record is from RefSeq and is a predicted model, not a curated record.
CAUCCAGACUCGAGGAAUAUAUUGAUAAUCAGGCUAAUGUAUUCAUAAUUAAGAUUAAAAUAUGGUUGGCUUAAACAGUAGCCAAGUAAAUUGUAUGCUAGCAGAGAUCGAGAUCUAGCUAGCUCUACGCAAAAAAACAAAAAGAUUGACAUCUAGCAACAGCGACAUGGCAUCGUUUAAAAAAAGCAGUAGCAGCAUGCACUCAGGGGUUGUUUGGAUCAUUGCCGCAAGGCGCCCUGCCAAAUUAUUGGUAGUUGACCAGCUCUAGAUGUCCAUUUGGAUGCAAGCCAAACAAUUGGCGCGCCCACACCUCCACAAUAUCUCAAGUUCAAUUCCCAGCCAAUAUUUUGGCAAGGCGUGGGCAGAUGAUUCCUGCGCCAAUAUUUUGGCAAGCCCAAGAUUGGCAAAGUUGGCGCUGGAUCAAACCAAACAGCCCCUCAAUCCCACCGAGAAUUCCUUUUUCACCACUCAGUUCUUAUCUUCUCCACAUAUCCACCCAUCUCUCUGCCUCCAUCUUCCUUUUCCUGCGACAUUUGACCACCACCCAGCGCCACGUCUCCACCGGCAGCCGACGUGCACCACCAGACUUCCUCCCGGACCUCCGCCAUAGUCCCAGUCUGGCCUCGCGCGCACAGGCCGGCCGCCAGCCAGGAGCCCAUACAGAGCCAGCCGCGCUGCAACAACGCCGCCGCCCGUACGCCGCCUCCCACACCAACCACGCCCGAGCAAGGAGCUCCCCUCGACCCCGGCCCCUGCAGCUCCUCCUCGGCUCCCCGUCCGGCAACCGGCGCCGUCACCGGCUAGCCCCUGCAACUCGAGCCGGAGCAUCACACCCGCGCCAUGAAUCUCCAACCCUGAUGCCCAAGCUCCCGCCGCUGUUCUGUGGACCGAGUUAUUCGCUCAAGGGAAACCAUCUGAAAAAGACAACAAGAGAGAGACGCCAAUGAACAAGUUGAUUCUAUCAUGCCAUUGGGAGAGGCGCCCAAGGAAAAGGUAGUGUGCAUGCUAGUCUUCUCAUGGUGUACCGGUUUGUGGGAGAGCUAAGAGUUCGUGCUGGGGCACUGCUUACCUUGUACUACCUACGAUGUGAAUACAGUGCAACGUGAUAUUGAUAUCGAAAUAGAGCGAACAUGGUGGUCCACCGAGUA